AGAGUUUGAUCCUAGCUCAGGAUGAACGCUGGCGGCGUGGAUAAGUCAUGCAAGUCGAGCGAACUAGUUGCUGGUCACUAGUUGCUAGUUGCUGGUAGUCGCAAAUGCGAUUAACCAGUCAUUAGUUACCAGUUACCAGUAACUAGUUAGCGGCAGACGAGGUAGUAAUAAUUAAGUAUGUACCAGAGAGUCGGGCAUAGCUAUCCGAAAGGGUAGGUAACUCCCGAUGGUCCCUACUUCGCUCAUUGCUUCGCAUGAGCUUCGUAGGGCAGGCUCUUAAGAGCUUGCCCUUCGUAGCUCGCUUGCGAAGCAGCGAGCGGAGUAGGGUAAAAAUUUAUUGCUCUCUGAACAGCUUGAUCGGUAUCAGCUAGUUGGUGAGGUAAAAGCUCACCAAGGCUAUGACGCCUAGGGGACCUGAGAGGGUGACCCCCACCGAUGGGACUGAGACACGGCCCAUACACCUACGGGUGGCUGCAGACGAGAAUAUUCCGCAAUGGACGAAAGUCUGACGGAGCGACGCCGCGUGGAGGAUGAAGUGCUUCGGCAUGUAAACUCCUUUUGCCAGGGAAAAAGUUAUUGAUGGUACCUGGAGAAUAAGAGGUUGCUAAACUCGUGCCAGCAGCAGCGGUAAUACGAGUGCCUCGAGCGUUAUCCGGAAUUAUUGGGCGU
This 669-nucleotide ribosomal RNA is filed under the name Candidatus Taylorbacteria bacterium RIFCSPLOWO2_01_FULL_45_59. Its description in RNAcentral is "bacterial SSU rRNA". It matches the Rfam family "Bacterial small subunit ribosomal RNA", at positions 8 to 561 of the family's 1533-position model. Lineage: Bacteria; Candidatus Tayloriibacteriota. The record is from RNAcentral.